RNAcentral lists this ribosomal RNA (348 nucleotides) under uncultured Paracraurococcus sp. RNAcentral's name for it is "bacterial SSU rRNA". It matches the Rfam family "Bacterial small subunit ribosomal RNA", at positions 524 to 871 of the family's 1533-position model. Lineage: Bacteria; Pseudomonadati; Pseudomonadota; Alphaproteobacteria; Acetobacterales; Roseomonadaceae. The record is from RNAcentral.
UACGAAGGGGGCUAGCGUUGCUCGGAAUUACUGGGCGUAAAGGGCGCGUAGGCGGCACUGUUAGUCAGGCGUGAAAUUCCUGGGCUCAACCUGGGGACUGCGCUUGAUACGGCGGAGCUAGAGGAUGGAAGAGGCUCGCGGAAUUCCCGGUGUAGAGGUGAAAUUCGUAGAUAUUGGGAAGAACACCGGUGGCGAAGGCGGCGAGCUGGUCCAUUACUGACGCUGAGGCGCGACAGCGUGGGGAGCAAACAGGAUUAGAUACCCUGGUAGUCCACGCCGUAAACGAUGUGCGCUGGACGUUGGGUGGCCUAGCCACUCAGUGUCGUAGCUAACGCGGUAAGCGCACCG